Long non-coding RNA from Panicum virgatum (switchgrass), 932 nucleotides. RefSeq lists it as uncharacterized. The record is from RefSeq and is a predicted model, not a curated record. The transcript has 2 exons. Lineage: Eukaryota; Viridiplantae; Streptophyta; Magnoliopsida; Poales; Poaceae.
CACAGAUAUUAAGGUCCAUUCUUUAAGUGAGACAUUCAUCAAAAAGAAACAAGACCAGCUCAAUAAUGAUUGUUUCUAUGAGAUUCUGCAAGACAAAAUCACCAAUUUGUUGCGGGAUCGCGGUGUUCAGAAACAGCGCUACACCACCAUGAUCCAUGACAUGGCCUCCGUCUGUGACAGCUUUGGUGAUCUACUGCCAAUUAAAAAGGUUACCACUGGUGAAGCCAUCUCUGAACAUGCGGAAACUGGAUUCAUGUUCACUGGGAGCAAAACCAAUCCAUCUCGCCUUGAUGAGCUCGCUUUGUCUCUCCUGAAGAUCCUUCGCAACGGGAUCAUCUACGAGACCAAGCACGCCACCACUCCCUACUGAGGAGGCAACACACUAUAUCCACUGUAUAUACCACUCCACUGCUAUGGACUUCAUAUUGCAAUUGCAGAGAAUGCAGCAGCCUCACCAUCAAUUGGUGGAUUCUUUUGCGUGCUCCAGCAUCUAGCACGGCUAACUGUGUUAUAGCAGUUUCUUUUGGCACUAUUUUUUUGGGUGUUCCCUGGGCAACACCACUUACAGCACUGAUCCGGGGUGUGGUUCAGAGGGUGACUUUGUAUCCCCUUGGCAGACAAAUCUUGGAAACCAGCUUUAGAAGCAUAACAGAUUGCUGCAGCCUGCCACUCAACAAAAGUAUCACAUACAAAUGGUAUGGAACAGCAACCUGCCCAGUUCUGCUUCCUGGUUUCACCUUUGUGUGUCCGUAGUUCGCAAAAAUAGCUGCUGCAACUACGCCUGAUGGCCUGCUUAGUCUGUACUAGCGUGCACUGCAUCACGGAUGUUGGAUGCAGCUGCCAGUUUGUAAGCAAACCUGCAUGGCAGUAACUAUUGCCUAUGAUCCUUCGAACUGGUUCAUCACCGUGACUAUGCAAACUAUGUUUUCUGC